AUACGGAGGAUCCGAGCGUUAUCCGGAUUUAUUGGGUUUAAAGGGUGCGCAGGCGGGAGAUUAAGUCGGCGGUGAAAUUUUGCAGCUCAAAUGUAAAAGAGCCCUCGAAACUGGUUUCCUUGAGUGUAGAUGAAGUAGGAGGAAUUUGUGGUGUAGCGGUGAAAUGCAUAGAUAUCACGAGGAACUCCGAUUGCGCAGGCAGCUUACUAAACUACUACUGACGCUCAGGCACGAAGGCGUGGGGAUCAAACAGGAUUAGAUACCCUGGUAGUCCACGCAGUAAACGAUGAUUACUAGCUGUUUGCGAUACAAUGUAAGCGGCUGAGCGAAAGCGUUAAGUAAUCCACCUGGGGAGUACGUUCGCAAGAAUGAAACUCAAAUGAAUUGGCGG
This 391-nucleotide ribosomal RNA is filed under the name uncultured bacterium. RNAcentral describes it as "partial 16S ribosomal RNA". It matches the Rfam family "Bacterial small subunit ribosomal RNA", at positions 523 to 916 of the family's 1533-position model. The record is from RNAcentral.